RNAcentral lists this transfer RNA (73 nucleotides) under Milvago chimachima. RNAcentral describes it as "tRNA-Ile". The record is from RNAcentral. Lineage: Eukaryota; Metazoa; Chordata; Aves; Falconiformes; Falconidae.
GGAAGUGUGCCCGAAUACCCAAGGGUCACUAUGAUAAAGUGAACAUAGAGGUACACCAACCCUCUCACUUCCU